This 497-nucleotide ribosomal RNA is filed under the name uncultured bacterium. RNAcentral's name for it is "partial 16S ribosomal RNA". It matches the Rfam family "Bacterial small subunit ribosomal RNA", at positions 28 to 507 of the family's 1533-position model. The record is from RNAcentral.
GAUGAACGCUGGCGGCGUGCCUAAUACAUGCAAGUCGAGCGAACGGACGAGAAGCUUGCUUCUCUGAUGUUAGCGGCGGACGGGUGAGUAACACGUGGAUAACCUACCUAUAAGACUGGGAUAACUUCGGGAAACCGGAGCUAAUACCGGAUGAUAUUUUGAACCGCAUGGUUCAAAAGUGAAAGACGCUCUUGCUGUCACUUAUAGAUGGUUCCGCGCUGCAUUAGCUAGUUGGUAAGGUAACGGCUUACCAAGGCAACGAUGCAUAGCCGACCUGAGAGGGUGAUCGGCCACACUGGAACUGAGACACGGUCCAGACUCCUACGGGAGGCAGCAGUAGGGAAUCUUCCGCAAUGGGCGAAAGCCUGACGGAGCAACGCCGCGUGAGUGAUGAAGGUCUUCGGAUCGUAAAACUCUGUUAUUAGGGAAGAAAAUAUGUAGAAGUAACUGUGCACAUCUUGACGGUACCUAAUCAGAAAGCCACGGCUAACUACGUG